UGGGGAAUCUUCCGCAAUGGGCGAAAGCCUGACGGAGCGACGCCGCGUGGGGGACGAAGGCCUUCGGGUCGUAAACCCCUGUCAGAGGGAAAGAAGGGUACCGGCGUGAACAGCGCCGGUAUUUGACGGUACCCUCAGAGGAAGCCACGGCCAACUCCGUGCCAGCAGCCGCGGUAAUACGGAGGUGGCAAGCGUUGCUCGGAAUCACUGGGCGUAAAGGGCGCGUAGGCGGGGAGGUAAGUCGGGUGUGAAAUCCCUCGGCCCAACCGAGGAACUGCGCCCGAGACUGCUUCUCUUGAGUCCCGGAGAGGAAGGUGGAAUUCCCGGUGUAGCGGUGAAAUGUGUAGAGAUCGGGAGGAACACCGGUGGCGAAGGCGGCCUUCUGGACGGUGACUGACGCUGAGGCGCGAAGCGUGGGGAGCAAACGGGAUAGAUACCCGGUAGUCCACGCUGUAAACGAUGGGUGCGUAGGUGUGGGGGGUAGUCGACCCCGUCCCGUCGCCGAAGCUAACGC
This 514-nucleotide ribosomal RNA is filed under the name uncultured bacterium. RNAcentral's name for it is "bacterial SSU rRNA". It matches the Rfam family "Bacterial small subunit ribosomal RNA", at positions 355 to 858 of the family's 1533-position model. The record is from RNAcentral.